RNAcentral lists this transfer RNA (69 nucleotides) under Ictidomys tridecemlineatus (thirteen-lined ground squirrel). RNAcentral describes it as "Spermophilus tridecemlineatus (thirteen-lined ground squirrel) tRNA". It matches the Rfam family "tRNA". Rfam says of the family: Transfer RNA (tRNA) molecules are approximately 80 nucleotides in length. The record is from Rfam by way of RNAcentral. Lineage: Eukaryota; Metazoa; Chordata; Mammalia; Rodentia; Sciuridae.
GGGGUUGGGGCUCAGUGGUAGAGCACUCGCCUAGCAUGUGUGAGGCCCUGGGUUCGAUCCUCAGCACCA